CUUGGAGGAAUGUAUAGCGAAAGCUACUUGCAUUUAGCUUAGUUAAUAAAUGCAGGAUUGACUAUGUCGAAUAAAGUUCUAGGUGGGUUAUGAUGAUGACAUUUCCUAUCUAUGUGUCUUGACCAAACUACGUGCCAGCAGUCGCGGUAACACGUAAUAGACUAGUGUUAUUCAUCUUUAAUAGGUUUAAAGGGUACCUAGACGGUAAAUCAAGUCCAAGAAGGGUACUAAUUUGCUAGAGUUUAAUGUGAGGGGGCACUAAAGUACUGAUAAGUGUAGAGAUGAAAUUCUGUGAUACAAUAUACGGCACUGGCAAAGGCGAAAGCAUCUCAUUAUGUAAUAACUGACGUUGAGGGACGAAGGCUAGGUGUAGCAAAAAGGAUUAGAUACCCAAGUAGUCUUAGCAGAAAAUUAUGAAUGUCAUAGGAUGGAGAUACAACAAAUUUUUUUUCUAUAAAUGAAAGUGUAAGCAUUCCACCUCGAGAGUAAUUUGGCAACAUUGGAACUGAAAUCAUUAGACCGUUUCUGAAACAAGUAGUGAAGUAUGUUGUUUAAUUUGAUGGUCCGCAAAAAACCUUACCACAAUUUGAAUAGAAAUUUUUUUUUCGUACAAGCGCUGCACGGUUGUCUUCAGUUAAUGUCGUGAGAUCUUGGUUAGUUCCAUUAAAUUAACGUAAACCCUUACUUUAUUUUGAUAUAGAGUAGUUCACCGCUAGAUUGGAUGUGAUAACAGGGA
RNAcentral lists this ribosomal RNA (736 nucleotides) under Anaptychia setifera. Its description in RNAcentral is "SSU rRNA". It matches the Rfam family "Bacterial small subunit ribosomal RNA", at positions 355 to 1157 of the family's 1533-position model. Lineage: Eukaryota; Fungi; Ascomycota; Lecanoromycetes; Caliciales; Physciaceae. The record is from RNAcentral.